RNAcentral lists this ribosomal RNA (457 nucleotides) under uncultured bacterium. RNAcentral describes it as "bacterial SSU rRNA". It matches the Rfam family "Bacterial small subunit ribosomal RNA", at positions 340 to 786 of the family's 1533-position model. The record is from RNAcentral.
UACGGAAGGCAGCAGUGGGGAAUAUUGCACAAUGGGCGAAAGCCUGAUGCAGCUAUGCCGCGUGUAUGAAGAAGGCCUUAGGGUUGUAAAGUACUUUCAUCGGGGAGGAAAAACAAAACUAAUAAUUUUAUUUCUUGACGUUACCCGAAAAAGAAGCACCGGCUAACUCCGUGCCAGCAGCCGCGGUAAUACGGAGGGUGCUAGCGUUAAUCAGAAUUACUGGGCGUAAAGAGCACGUAGGUGGUUUUUUUAAGUCAGAUGUGAAAUCCCUGGGCUUAACCUAGGAACUGCAUUUUGAAACUGAAAUACUAGAGUAUCGUAGAGGGAGGUAGAAUUCUAGGUGUAGCGGUGAAAUGCGUAGAUAUCUGGAGGAAUACCUGUGGCGAAAAGCGGCCUCCUAAACGAAUACUGACACUGAGGUGCGAAAAGCGUGGGGAGCAAACAGGGAUUAGAUACC